ACUCAAAUGAAUUGACGGGGGCCCGCACAAGCGGUGGAGCAUGUGGUUUAAUUCGAUGCAACGCGAAGAACCUUACCUACUCUUGAAUCUACGGAAUCUAGCAGAGAUGUUGGAGUGCCUUCGGGAACCGUAAGACAGGUGCUGCAUGGCUGUCGUCAGCUCGUGUCGUGAGAUGUUGGGUUAAGUCCCGUAACGAGCGCAACCCUUAUCCUUAGUUACCAGCGAGUAAAGUCGGGGACUUUAAGGAGACUGCCGGUGAUAAACCGGAGGAAGGUGGGGAUGACGUCAAGUCCUCAUGGCCCAUACGAGUAGGGCUACACACGUGCUACAAUGGCCGGUACAAAGGGUAGCGAACCUGCGAAGGGGAGCCAAUCUCAAAAAGCCGGUCGUAGUCCGGAUUGGAGUCUGCAACUCGACUCCAUGAAGUUGGAAUCGCUAGUAAUCGCGGAUCAGAACGCCGCGGUGAAUACGUUCCCGGGCCUUGUACACACCGCCCGU
This 498-nucleotide ribosomal RNA is filed under the name uncultured bacterium. Its description in RNAcentral is "partial 16S ribosomal RNA". It matches the Rfam family "Bacterial small subunit ribosomal RNA", at positions 899 to 1397 of the family's 1533-position model. The record is from RNAcentral.